Molecule: ribosomal RNA, 274 nt
Filed under: uncultured bacterium
Lineage: Bacteria
Description: partial 16S ribosomal RNA
Rfam family: Bacterial small subunit ribosomal RNA
Source: RNAcentral
GAGUUUGAUCUUGGCUCAGGAUGAACGCUGGCGGCGUGCUUAACACAUGCAAGUCGAACGGAGAGCUAUUGACGGAGUUUUCGGACAACUGAAAUAGUUUCUUAGUGGCGGACGGGUGAGUAACGCGUGAGGAACCUACCUUUGAGAGGGGAAUAACACAGAGAAAUUUGUGCUAAUACCGCAUAAAGCAGUUGGGUCGCAUGGCUCUGACUGCCAAAGAUUUUACGCUCUUAGAUGGCCUCGCGUCUGAUUAGCUAGUUGGUGAGGUAACCGG